CGUCUUCUGUUACUCGACUGCACGACGCAAGGGCCUUUCCCCCUUCUUUCCUUCGGCGUUCCGCCCUGCCUUACUCUUAUCUUGCCCCUGCUGGCCCUCACUGGCACGCAAGACAAUGCGCUUCGCCAAGGAUGCUGAGCUUCUCCAGUACAUGGUGCCCGGCAGUACACUUGCUGAUAUUGUGUCCUCUGAGGAGGAUGCCGACGACUACGACGCGUACUUCGACGCACCCGCGGCGAAAGCUGAAGGGGUCUCCGGCGUGGUGCCGGGUGAAGGCUCCGCUGGGACCGGCACGAACGCGCAAGGUGCCGCGACGUCGCUUUCCAAGUUCCAGCCCGCCCAGCACAAGAAUGCGGAUGCGAAGGUGCUCGGCAGAAUACACAUCGAUGACUACUACGACGGACACGGCAGCGGUGGCGGCGCGAGCGGUGGUGCGCAGUCCAACCAACGCGUCCUGAAUGAGCUGCGGGAUAUGACCAUGUCUAGUCGCUUCGCUCAGAAUGCCGCGUCGAAGAACGUCGACCGCUCCGAGCGCGCCACGGUGGAAAACGUGCUCGACCCCCGCACCCGCCUCAUCUUAUAUAAGCUCGUUAACUCCGGCAUUCUAAGCGAGAUCAACGGAUGCGUUUCCACUGGCAAGGAGGCGAAUGUGUACUACGCCGUGAGCGGUGACGGCAGUCCAGCCGCCUUGAAGGUAUAUAAGACGUCGAUUCUGUCCUUCAAAGACCGCGACCAGUAUGUUUCAGGCGAGUUCCGCUUUCAGCGUUACUGCAAGAGUAACCCACGCAAGAUGGUGCGCACGUGGGCCGAGAAGGAGGCACGUAACCUCAUCCGCCUGCAAGACGGCGGUGUCCUUGCACCGGCAGUGAAGCUGCUCCGGCAGCACGUGCUGAUCAUGGAGUUCCUCGGCGAGGACGGAUGGCCAGCGCCGCGGCUGAAGGAGGUGACAUUUCCCUCCGCUAAGGCGCUAGACAAGUGCUACCUGGACCUGUGCUGCACAAUGCGCAAGAUGUACGCGCGCAGUCAUCUGAUCCACGGUGAUCUCUCCGAGUACAACCUGCUGCUGUACCGCGGCCGCGUCGUGGUGAUUGACGUAUCGCAGUCGGUCGAGUACGACCACCCGCGCUCCAUGAGCUUCUUGCGGCGCGACAUCGUCAACGUGAACAGCUUCUUCCGCUCGCGAGGGCUGACGGGGCUGUUCACAUUGCAGGACCUUUUUCAUUUCAUUACGGCAGAUCCGGCGAAGUCGGGAUGGCAGCGCUGCCAGGGCCCGCCGAACGACGAGGAGCUCAUGGCACGACUGAAGGAAAUCCGCGACGACUACGGGGAAGGCGGCGCCGUGCCCGUCGAUGCGGAGCAGGCAAAGGUGGAUGAGCAGGUUUUCCUAAACAUCACAGUGCCGCGCUCCCUCAACGAGAUAUGCGACCGUGCUGGACCGAACAAGGAGGUUGCCGUAUUUGUUGAGGGCAUGACGGCCGCUUCUGCAGCUGCACAGACAGAGGACCACAGCGGUGCCGACGGUGAAGGCGAUGGAGAUGGCGACGACGAGGACUCCGAGGCGGACGAUGCCGACUCACCGAUGAAGGCGAAGGCGGCUCCGCAGGCGGUGUUAGCGAACAUGACCAAGGAGGAGCGCAAGGAGCAUCGGAAGGCCGUGAAGGAGGCCAACCGCGAGAAGCGUGCCGAGAAGAAGAAGAACAACGCCAACAGAAAGAAAAAGGGGCGAAAGUAACACGAGGAGACCGAGGGAGAGAGACGGAGGGGAAGAGGAGCAUCUCGCCAAACUCUCGCACGCUUUCGGGGCUGGCAUCGCACCGCCUCUGUCUGUGCACGGUGCCGGUGUGGUCAGCUUGUGUUUCUCGCAUACUGUUCUCGCUAUCGCUUGUGUACAUCUCUGCUGCUGUGCCGGACGUGUGCCGCUGUGAGGAGACGAGGCACGCGCACGCAUCUCCGCCACGGAUGUGAGCUCGCUGCUGUGUGCUGUCGCCUUUCCCAAUCCUGCUGCUGGUCCCUCACCGUUUGUCUAAGUGUUUUUCAUUCGUGUAAGUGGGUGCAAUCCUGUGUUUGUGUCUCUGUGCGUGUGCGCGCGCGUAUGAGACUCGCGCGCCUCCCGAAGGCGUCAAAAUCGGAAAGAGGGACCAUCGAUGAAGCGACAACGUGGCGUGCGGAGGAAAGAGGGAGGGAGCGAGGGAGGAGGGGGGGGGCAAAGUUGCGCGCGAGGUCACGCGUGCGCGUGCGCCCGCGUGAAUGUCGUGUUACACCGAAGGAAAAAGAAGGCGGCGGGAUUGCGUCACGAGGGGGAGGCAACGAGAGGAGCCGAGAAAAAGGCGCGCACCAGGCACCCUCCUUCCGCCCUACCCCCGCCUAUCGCCUCCGCCUCCGCUUCCGCCGUCCCUCUUUUUCUUUUGUCCAUUCCUCCCCCAUCUGCACUGCCGACCUGCGUGACCUUCCUCGGUGGAACGCAGCUUGUCUUCUCCCCAUGUCCUUCCCCCGCUCCCUCUCUGUUCGAUUGACAGCCUUGCUCUAAAACCAACCAGCCC
RNAcentral lists this unclassified non-coding RNA (2540 nucleotides) under Leishmania donovani. Its description in RNAcentral is "gene:LdHU3.29.0320(CDS-product:RIO1_family_putati ve)". Lineage: Eukaryota; Euglenozoa; Kinetoplastea; Trypanosomatida; Trypanosomatidae. The record is from RNAcentral.